This is a long non-coding RNA of Lolium perenne, 2867 nucleotides long. RefSeq lists it as uncharacterized. NCBI's taxonomy places the organism in Eukaryota, Viridiplantae, Streptophyta, Magnoliopsida, Poales, Poaceae. The record is from RefSeq and is a predicted model, not a curated record.
GGACUAAAUUGAAAAGUGCGGUUCCAGAAUCUAGACGAUCCCGAUCAAAUUCUCCCCACGCACCAGAGGGGCGCCGCCGCGACGCGUGCCGGCGGUGGGGCUUCUCCUCGUGGGUUGCGCACUCUCCAUCGACGGCCUCCUCUCCCGGGCUACGCGCGGGACUAGCUCGCCGACGUGCCCACCCGCCUCGCUCGCCUCCUCCAUCUCCUCGCGCCAUCGAGGACCACUACGCCGCCGCUGUGCUUGCGCUCCGCCUCACGGGGGCGCAGGUUGCCGAAUUCGUGCUCCUAGACCAGGAGCUCGUGGCCGCGGCGCCAUUCAGUCUCCGUGUGCGACCACCGCGACAACCCUAGUCGCCACGGUCGUCGGCGCGGCUCCCACGCCUCCGAGCCUCCCGCGCGGCCGCCUCGGCCUCCUACCCUACGUCAAAUACGUGGCCCUGCCCUAAAUCGCCUCCUGCCCGGCUUCCCCGCGAACGCCGCUUGCCCAUGGACCACGCGCCUGCGCACGGUUGCCGGUUGUGGGCACGGUGGUGCUCUGCCUCUGCUCAUCGUCGCCUCCCUCACCACAUCUCCUCCGCUACUGGCGCCGUGUGAUGGUGAAUUUCCCCUUCCUCUUCCCCUCUUUUGUUCCAGUUUAGGAUGUGUUAAUGUGAUGUUGUUAAAUGAGAUCAUAUGCUGCUGUUAAGUGAAUUCAUCUGGUGUUGAUUGUUUGUUGUUAUAACCUACGCUUCCUAUUACCAACUCAAACAAAUUCCAAUUAUAUGUUAGUGUUUCAGACAAUUCAUAGACAUGCAAUGUGUUUGCCAAUGUUGCAAUGCUAUGUUAUUUGAGAAUUGAUACAUCUGUAUAUCACAUUUCAUCCGUGAUCAUCGACCCUUUAGUACCCUAAUGAAUGUUCCGUUUAAUUUGCGAAAUAUUUUCUGAACUCCAUUCCAAACCUGUGUUCCUGAUGACAUUCGUUGUCAAGGAGAAUUAGCUCAGAGUGACCAUCUAAACCUUGAUCGAUCCGUUUUGGGCUACUGGUGACCGCCGCCUCCCCGCAGGUAAACCCGAUGCUGGUUGAUUUCGAUGAAGGUGAUUUUUUAUGUUUCCUUUGUUCUCUUCCUUUUUUCUGCUAAUCAGCCAUCUGACGACCUGCUCUAGCCCACGGCAAAGGAGAUCAUGGCCUUGGAUGACAAAGAUGGUAACCUGCAGCUCAAGGGCUUGGCAUGGGUCUCUGUUCGAUCCAUGGAAGAAUUUCAGGAGGUUUACUCAAUUUUUUGAAAUGGGUGUGCAGAGAGGAAAGUUGCACACACAGGCCUGAACGAUGUUUCAAGUAGGAGCCAUGAUGUGCUCUCCAUCCGGAUCAAUAAUGAUACUUUCAAAGGGAAUCUUAACCUCAUUGACUUGGCUGGAAAUGAGGACAACAGAAGGACGUACAAUGAAGGGGUCCACCUUCAAGAAAGCUCCAAAAUUAAUUCUUCGCUGUUUGCCCUGUGGAAUAUCACUUCAGCUCUGAAGAAAAUGCAAAUGUGCUUCCUAAAUAUUUUUUAGGAAUAAAUAUAGUAGUUUAGCUUCAAACCUUGAUGAUUUGAACUCAUACUUAGAGUUUCCAUGUAUCAAUGGGCUUGAGUUUCAUGCUUGCAUUACCUUUACAGGAGCACAUGAACUGUUACUUCGAAAUUUAAAAUCUUCUAGUAAUACAGAAAACUGGUUGACCUUCUACUUGGUGUUUCUGGGUAGUUAUCAGUGGGUCAAGAUGAUGCAUAUACCAGAGGUACAUAUGAAAUGCGAGUUCUGAAAGAAUUUUACUGCAAGAUUGGGACAAACGAACUGACAUUGCUGACUGCCACACAGUUAUUGGUCAUUUGCUAAAUUGCUUGACAAAUAUCAGGAAGUACUCCAUUGCUUGACAAAUAUCAGGAAGUACCGCAUCGACCACGUUUUCAAUCCCUGUCCUCAAGGUCCUCACAGGACUUUGCCGCUGCUAGGCCGGAUUGCUACUGCUGUAGAUCAUGGUGUUUCCGAUUAGUUUGGUUAGUCCUGGUAUCCUCUUCUAUUUCGUGCGGCUCGUUGUUAUUUGGUAGCUUGGUUAAGUUAGUUGCGAUCUAAAUUUUCGUUAAGUUAGUCCACAUGCUCCAGUUUUAAUUCUGUAAUUAGUAAGCUAUCAAACGUGUACGGUGCUUGGAACCAAACUGCGGGACAUGAGAAGUGUUAGGUCUACUUUUUCUGUCCGAUGCUAGCACUAGCAAAUGUGAAGUUUGAUUGCCUAAAUGGAAUAAGUAUUGAGAUGGUCUAGCUUUCCAAUUGGGAUUCGUGGAAUAACUUAAGCAAUUUAUGAAGAAUUUAAGAAGUUGACCUGGUGUAUUUUGGGUACAAAGGGUACUUGUGUAUUUUUAUUAGCUCAGUGAUUUAAGUUUCGCGUACGGUGCAGAGGGACAUAAGAGAGCAGUGACAUAGAUUUGUGGAGUCCAGUCCACUAAAUUCUUACGCUUCGAAGGAGGAUAAAUUACUGGAAGUGCUGGGACUGUAAGUAUACCUGCAUCUUCUUUGUGAGGAGCAUUAUCUUUUUGGUGAGGAUCAUUGUCUUUUUCCGAGCAGUACAGUUCAGGUCCUGUAAGUUAGAUGCUUGGAACUCCAUGCACGGGGUUAAAGAUCCUGUAAUUAGAUUCUGUAAUUUAGAUGCUACAUGGAAAUUUUCGUUCUAGACCAUGUUGACACCAUGUUGCUUGCAAAUGUUGGUUUCAGACCAUGUUGACACAAUGUUGCUUGCAAAUAUUGGCCGCAUCAUGUAAUUUAGAUGCCUGGUUGUAAUUUUAAUGCAUGAUCAUGUCGCUGUGUUGGAUCAAAAUGCCAAGCAAUAUGAAAGUACUAUGAUUAUUGCCU